This 477-nucleotide ribosomal RNA is filed under the name uncultured bacterium. Its description in RNAcentral is "bacterial SSU rRNA". It matches the Rfam family "Bacterial small subunit ribosomal RNA", at positions 28 to 503 of the family's 1533-position model. The record is from RNAcentral.
GAUGAACGCUAGCGGCAGGCCUAACACAUGCAAGUCGAGGGGUAACAGGGAGCUUGCUCCGCUGACGACCGGCGCACGGGUGCGUAACGCGUAUACAAUCUACCUUUUGCUGCGGGAUAGCCCAGAGAAAUUUGGAUUAAGACCGCAUAGUAUAACGACCUGGCAUCAGGAUGUUAUUAAAGGCUACGGCAGAAGAUGAGUAUGCGUUCUAUUAGCUAGAUGGUGCGGUAACGGCGCACCAUGGCAACGAUAGAUAGGGGCCCUGAGAGGGGGAUCCCCCACACUGGUACUGAGACACGGACCAGACUCCUACGGGAGGCAGCAGUGAGGAAUAUUGGACAAUGGGCGAGAGCCUGAUCCAGCCAUGCCGCGUGCAGGGAAGACUGCCCUAUGGGUUGUAAACUGCUUUUAUACGGGAAGAAACACCCCCUCGUGAAGGGGCUUGACGGUACCGUAAGAAUAAGGAUCGGCUAAACU